CAACGGCAUCACGAGGGUCAUACUGUCUCCUUUUUCUAAUCAGUGAAACUAAUCUCCCCGUGAAGAAGCGGGGAUAUUUUUAUAAGACGAGAAGACCCCAUGGAGCUUCAAACCCAACUACACCUUUGAUUAUUAUAGCCUUCUAAACCUCAGAGCCCUGCACAGUUGGUUUUAGGUUGGGGCGACCACGGAGUACAACAAAACCUCCACAAUGAAAGGGAAAUUCCCUCAUCUAAGAACCACAAUUCUAAGAACUAGUAUACUAACAUGAAAUGAUCCAUUAACAUGAUCAAUGAACCAAGUUACCCUGGGGAUAACAG
RNAcentral lists this ribosomal RNA (320 nucleotides) under Mantidactylus tricinctus. RNAcentral describes it as "partial 16S ribosomal RNA". It matches the Rfam family "Bacterial large subunit ribosomal RNA", at positions 1994 to 2480 of the family's 2925-position model. Lineage: Eukaryota; Metazoa; Chordata; Amphibia; Anura; Mantellidae. The record is from RNAcentral.